AUGCAAAUCUUAACGAAGCUGUUCGAGGUCCUUCUGGACCGUUUAAAAAAACAGUAUUCAGCAUUUUUCACACGCACGGUUGCCAGAGCGAGAGCUCCACAGCCUGGAGUUCACCAUAAAACGCUCCCCCGAGGCCACAGACCGAAGCACAACCCAGCUACAAGUCACAGCGAGUCACCGACAACUCCACUCCACUCCACAUCCAAAAUGUCCGCCAUGACUUUCUAUAUCUUUGCUUCCUUGAUGGGCCUGUGGACAGGGACGGCCAUGGCUCUCGAAGGAGACAUCUUCAAGUUAGCCGGCGAAGUAGCGGCCAUUUUGCCGGCGCCGGUGAGGAAGACCGUGGGGGCACUGGCGCGAAGCAGCCCUGCCCGUACCGCCUCCGAUGCCCUGGUAGGUCUCUUUCUGGGCAUGGUCUGCGUGAUGUACACGGCCACGUUCUUGUACGUCGUCGCGGUCCGAGCCUGCGGCGGGAACUGCUCCUUGGCCUGCGUCCUGUGUGAGAUCUCGGACCGUUCCGAGACGCUCUCCCUGCUUCUCUUAGCGCCGGCGGUUGCGCUCUUCUUCCUUCGCGCCGCCGGCUGCAGGAGCCUCGAGGUCGCGGAUUUCAAUCAGCGGCCUUCAGUCCUUGAACGCCUUCAGUCCACGUCGCCGCUAAUCUUGGUUGCAGCGUUUUUGCUUGCAAUCAUCUCUUUGAAUCUUCAGUCUCCGCAGAUCUCUGAGAUUCUAGGCGUUGCGGCUAUGUUCUUCGCGCACCUAUUUUUCAUCCGCUUCUACAUCCGUGCUGCACAGGCGCUGUGGAGGAUGAAUCGCAGGUCGGCAAUUGACAUGGUGGCAGAGUAG
Molecule: ribosomal RNA, 843 nt
Filed under: Triticum aestivum (bread wheat)
Lineage: Eukaryota; Viridiplantae; Streptophyta; Magnoliopsida; Poales; Poaceae
Description: partial small subunit ribosomal RNA
Source: RNAcentral